CUCUAGAGAUCAAUCAUGUUUAAAGUGGCCCAAAACUGAAGAAAAGGAUGAAGACUCUAGUGGAAGUUUACCUGCAGUUCUGAAGAUAGACUUAUGCUAAAAGCCCAAAGAAGACCAAAGAGAAGGAGACAAUGAAGUCAGUGGAAGAAACCAGUAAACAACUAUGCUUCAGAAAAUAAUGAGGAUGAAAACAAAGAAAUAUGGAUUCAAGCAACAGAUGUCCCAGCCCAGGAGCGGUGGACUAGCUGUGGAGCAGGCGUGGCUAGCAUCUGGUCCCAACGUGUCUGGAAGCGAUGUUACUCACGCUGGUGCCUUCGCCUUGGCCAGAUUCUGACGGCAUUCUCGUGGCGGACUUGAUUCCUGUUGGCUGCUGCCCCAGAGGCUCUCCCUUGUCCUCUGACUCUCAACGCCCAGCUUCUGCCAGGGAUCAUCGUGACCCUUCCAGGAGG
Molossus molossus (Pallas's mastiff bat) is the source of this 449-nucleotide long non-coding RNA. RefSeq lists it as uncharacterized. The record is from RefSeq and is a predicted model, not a curated record. The transcript has 3 exons. Lineage: Eukaryota; Metazoa; Chordata; Mammalia; Chiroptera; Molossidae.